ACUAUUUUCUACAUUGUAGAAUAAUAGUGAAGACAUCAAAACUAUGAAAUAACACAUAUGGAAUCAUGUAGUAACAAAAAAAGUAAAACAAAUCUAAAUAUAUUAUAUAUUUGAUAUUCUUCAAAAUAGCCACCCUUUGCCUUGAUGACAGCUUAACACACUCUUGGCAUUCUCUCAAUCAGCUUCACAUAGAAUGCUUUUCCAACACUCUGCAGUCCAACUCAUCCCAAAACAUCUCAAUUGCGUUGAGGUCGGGUGAUUUUCGAGGCCAGGUCAUCUGAUGCAACUCCAUCACUCUCCUUGGCCAAAUAGCCCUUAAAUAGCCUGGAGAUGUGUUGGGUCAUCGUCUUGUUGAAAAACAAAUGAUAUGCCAACUAAGCGCGAACCAGAUGGGAUGGCGUUUUGCUGCAGAAUGCUGUGGAAUCCAUGCUGGUUAAGUGGGCCUUGAAUUCUAAAUAAAUCACAAACAGUGUCACAGGCAAAGCACACCCACACCAUCACACCUCCUCCUCCAUGUUUCACAGUGGGACCCACACAUGCAGAGAUCAUCUGUUCACCUACUCUGAGUCUCACAGACACAAAUAUUGGAACCAAAAAAAUGUCCACUGGUCUAACGUCCAUUGCUUGUGUUUAUUGGUGUCCUUUAGUAGAGGUUUCUUUGCAGCAAUUUGACCACGACGGCCUGAUUCACUCAAUCUCUUCUGAACAGUUGAUGUUGAGAUGCGUCUGUUACUUGAACGAUGUGAAACAUUUAUUUGGGCUGCAAUUUCUGAGGCUGGUAACUCUAAUGAACCUAUCCUCUGCAGCAGAGGUAACUCUGGGUCUUCCUUUCCUGUGGCGGUCCUCAUGAGAGCCAGUUUCAUCAUAGCGCUUGAUGGUUUUUGUAACUGCACUUGAAGAAACUUUAAUUGACUGACCUUCGUAUCUUAAAGUAAUGAUGGACUGUCAUUUCUCUUUGCUUAUUUGAGCUGUUCUUGUCAUAAUAUGGACUUGGUCUUUUACCAAAUAGGGCUAUCUUCUGUAUACCACCCUUAACAUGUCAGAACACAACUAAUUGGCUCCAACACAUUAAGAAGGAAAUAAAUUCCACAAUUGAAUUGAAAUGCAUUCCAGGUGACUACCUCAUGAAGCUGAUUGAAAGAAUGCCAAGAGUGUGCAAAGCUGUCAUCAAGGCAAAGGAUGGCUACUUUAAAGAAUCUCUAUGUUUUGAUUUUGGUACAACAUUAUUCCAUAUGUGUUGUUUCAUAGUUUUGAUGUCUUCACUAUUAUUAUAAAAUGUAGAAAAAAGUAAAAAAUAAAGAAAAACCCUGGAAUGAGUAGGUGUGUCCAAUCUUUGAAUGGUAAUGUGUAGCUAAGGACUAUUGUCGUUUUAGAAUCCGUAUCAUCACAUUUGACAUGCGGACGAAAAUUAGCUAGCUAGCUUGACUGCUAGCUAAGCCAGUCUCCAAUCAAUCCAUAUGAAUUUGUAUUUAUUAAAUUGUUUAAAUGUAAACUUUAUUUACCUAGGCAAGUCAGUUAAGAACAAAUUCUUAUUUACAAUGACGGCCUACCCUAGCCAAACCCUAAAGACGCUGAGCCAAUUGUCCAUCGCCCUAUGGGUAGAGUAGAAGUAGAAGUCCAAUGCCAGUGGCUCAGUCUGAUGCUUUGCCAUAGUCCCUAGCCAGUGGGUCAGUCUGAUGGUUUACUGUAGUAGUCCCUAGCCAGUGGGUCAGUCUGAUGGUUUGCCAUAGUCCCUAGCCAGUGGGUCAGUCUGAUGGUUUAAAGUAGAAGUCCCUAGCCAGUGGGUCAGUCUGAUGGUUUACAGUAGUAGUCCCUAGCCAGUGGGUCAGUCUGAUGGUUUGAAGUAGAAGUCCCUAGCCAGUGGGUCAGUCUGAUGGUUUACCAUAGUAGUCCCUAGCCAGUGGGUCAGUCUUAUGGUUUACUGUAGUAGUCCCUAGCCAGUGGGUCAGUCUGAUGAUUUAAAGUAGAAGUCCCUAGCCAGUGGGUCAGUCUGAUGGUUUAACGUAGAAGUCCCUAGCCAGUGGGUCAGUCUGAUGGUUUGCCAUAGUCCCUAGGCAGUGGGUCAGUCUCUUGGUUUACAGUAGUAGUCCCUAGCCAGUGGGUCAAUCUGAUGGUUUACCAUAGUCCCUAGCCAGUGGGUCAGUCUGAUGGUUUACUGCAGUAGUCCCUAGCCAGUGGGUCAGUCUGAUGGUUUACCAUAGUCCCUAGCCAGUGGGUCAGUCUGAUGGUUUGCCAUAGUCCCUAGCCAGUGGGUCAGUCUGAUGGUUUGCCAAAGUAGACCCAAGCCAGUGGGUCAGUCUGAUGGUUUACUUUAGUAGUUCCUAGCCAGUGGGUCAGUCUCUUGGUUUACAGUAGUAGUCCCUAGCCAGUGGUUCAGUCUCUUGGUUUACUGUAGUAGUCCAUAGCCAGUGGGUCAGUCUCUUGGUUUACUGUAGUAGUCCCUAGCCAGUGGGUCAGUCUGAUGGUUUACUGUAGAAGUCCCUAGCCAGUGGGUCAGUCUGAUGGUUUACAGUAGUAGUCCCUAGCCAGUGGGUCAGUAUGAUGGUUUACAGUAGUAGUCCCUAGCCAGUGGGUCAGUCUGAUGGUUUACAGUAGUAGUCCCUAGCCAGUGGGUCAGUCUCUUGGUUUACAGUAGUAGUCCCUAGCCAGUGGGUCAGUCUGAUGGUUUACAGUAGUAGUCCCUAGCCAGUGGGUCAGUCUGAUGGUUUACCAUAGUCCCUAGCCAGUGGGUCAGUCUCUUGGUUUACUGGAGUAGUCCCUAGCCAGUGGGUCAG
Molecule: long non-coding RNA, 2774 nt
Organism: Oncorhynchus tshawytscha (Chinook salmon)
Lineage: Eukaryota; Metazoa; Chordata; Actinopteri; Salmoniformes; Salmonidae
Source: Ensembl